GUAGUCGGAUUCGUAUCAAUCCACAUGUGUUAAAGGUGGAUUGGAGUGGAACUUAAACUAAAUUCCACCCCAGUCCACUCCAACACAUGUGGAUUGAGAUGAAUCCGACA
Sorghum bicolor (sorghum) is the source of this 110-nucleotide microRNA precursor. It matches the Rfam family "MIR5565 microRNA precursor family". The record is from Rfam. NCBI's taxonomy places the organism in Eukaryota, Viridiplantae, Streptophyta, Magnoliopsida, Poales, Poaceae.